UAGUCAGGAUGAUGAGCUAGUUGUAGGG
Molecule: non-coding RNA, 28 nt
Filed under: Cricetulus griseus (Chinese hamster)
Lineage: Eukaryota; Metazoa; Chordata; Mammalia; Rodentia; Cricetidae
Source: RNAcentral